UUUUAGCUUGCGAAUUAACAAAAACUUAAUAUUAAUAGGGAGCAAAUCAUCGAGAACCACAGCUACGAUGCAUUUUUCGCCUUUUUGAAAUACUUCUACACCAACGAGGUUGAUUUGCAGCCAGAUUUGGCUCUAGAGGUUUACGCCUUGGCCCACUUCUAUCAAAUGACUGAUCUGCAAAAGGAGUGCUUGAAAAUGAUUAAAAGAGGCCUGACCGUGGAUAACGCUGCUUUGAUUUACGACAAUGCAAUUCAACUUGGUGCCGAGGAACUUAAGGAGUUCAUUUUGAAGUUCUGCAAGAAGCACAUGAAUGCUGUUGUGGAGAGUGAUGGCUUCAAGCUCUUGAACAGCGAUGUCGUGAAAGAUUUCGUCCUUCGUGCUGCGCAGCAAGGAGUGUUUAAAAAAUGAUUAGUAGGCGAUAUUUCCUCUGCUGUGGGAUGCAGAUUGCAUGCUCAAUUUUUGAAAAUUUUGUUUCUUAUUCGAUAAUUAUUAAUUUCGAUGGGUGUUAUCUCUGUAAUGCGCGUGGCUUCUUUGCUCUUAUCUUUUGUUCUUUUCUUGACUGCGCCUCCGUGAGCGACCAGAUAGUUAAAAUUUCACAAAAAUCACCACCUUAGUUUUUACGAUCGUUCCACUCGUCAGCGUAAAUUUUGUAAUUAUGAGAGGAAUAAUUGCUUGUUCUAUUCUAUAUUAAA
Molecule: long non-coding RNA, 692 nt
Organism: Cloeon dipterum
Lineage: Eukaryota; Metazoa; Arthropoda; Insecta; Ephemeroptera; Baetidae
Exons: 3
Source: RefSeq, a predicted model, not a curated record